AUUGAACGCUGGCGGCAGGCCUAACACAUGCAAGUCGAGCGGAUGAAGGGAGCUUGCUCCUGGAUUCAGCGGCGGACGGGUGAGUAAUGCCUAGGAAUCUGCCUGGCAGUGGGGGAUGACGUCCGGAAACGGGCGCUAAUACCGCAUACGUCCUGAGGGAGAAAGUGGGGGAUCUUCGGACCUCACGCUAUCAGAUGAGCCUAGGUCGGAUUAGCUAGUUGGUGGGGUAAAGGCCUACCAAGGCGACGAUCCGUAACUGGUCUGAGAGGAUGAUCAGUCACACUGGAACUGAGACACGGUCCAGACUCCUACGGGAGGCAGCAGUGGGGAAUAUUGGACAAUGGGCGAAAGCCUGAUCCAGCCAUGCCGCGUGUGUGAAGAAGGUCUUCGGAUUGUAAAGCACUUUAAGUUGGGAGGAAGGGCAGUAAGUUAAUACCUUGCUGUUUUGACGUUACCAACAGAAUAAGCACCGGCUAACUUCGUG
Molecule: ribosomal RNA, 484 nt
Filed under: uncultured bacterium
Lineage: Bacteria
Description: partial 16S ribosomal RNA
Rfam family: Bacterial small subunit ribosomal RNA
Source: RNAcentral